CUGACGUAUAAAUUGUUUAAGAGCCGCGGUAUCCUGACCGUGCAAAGGUAGCAUAAUCAUUAGUUUUUUAAUUGAAAGCUUGUAUGAAUGGUCGGACAAAGGAAAAGCUGUCUUUAUUAUAUAAAUUGAAAUUAACUUUUAAGUGAAAAGGCUUAAAUGUUUCAAGGGGACGAUAAGACCCUAUAAAGCUUUAUAUAUUAAGUAAAUUUGGUUAAAUUUUAGUAUAAAAAUUUAAUUUAGUUGUUAUAUUUUAUUGGGGUGAUGUAGGUAUAAUUAAUUUUAACUGCUUAGAAGUAUUACAUUAAUAAGUGAAUUAAAAUUAAAAGAUCCUUUUUAGAGAUUUCAAGACUAAGUUACUUUAGGGAUAACAGCGUAAUUUUUUUUGAGAGUUCAUAUCGAAAAAAAAGUUUGCGACCUCGAUGUUGAAUUAGAAUAUCUAUAUAGUGCAGCCGUUAUAUAAGAAGGUCUGUUCGACCUUUAAAUUUUUACAUGA
This 493-nucleotide ribosomal RNA is filed under the name Eupilumnus laciniatus. RNAcentral describes it as "partial 16S ribosomal RNA". It matches the Rfam family "Bacterial large subunit ribosomal RNA", at positions 1908 to 2603 of the family's 2925-position model. The record is from RNAcentral. Lineage: Eukaryota; Metazoa; Arthropoda; Malacostraca; Decapoda; Oziidae.